Molecule: ribosomal RNA, 201 nt
Filed under: uncultured Phaeocystis
Lineage: Eukaryota; Haptophyta; Phaeocystales; Phaeocystaceae
Description: partial Bacterial small subunit ribosomal RNA
Rfam family: Bacterial small subunit ribosomal RNA
Source: RNAcentral
GGAACUGAGACACGGUCCAGACUCCUACGGGAGGCAGCAGUGAGGAAUUUUGGACAAUGGGGGAAACCCUGAUCCAGCGACGCCGCGUGUGGGAUGAAUGGGUUAUGCCCUGUAAACCACUGUCAGCAGAGAAGAAAAGGCUCCUUUGGAGCCCGGGACUGUAUCUGCAGAGGAAGGACCGGCUAACUACGUGCCAGCAGC